GAGGGCGAGGAGAAGGGAAGGGGGGAGGGACGGGGGAAGCAGGUAAUACACGGGGUGGGAACACGGCACAGUGACGCCUCCCUCAUCAGUCACAAACCAGUCGCAUGACAGAGGCCGUUCAUAUGGUGGCUGACGCUCGUUGGUGGCACCGCGCGGACAGGAGGAAAAGGAAUAGUGUGUUGUUGUCAGUGCGUGGCUCAGUGAUGAGGCAGUGAUGAAAAGCCAGGAUGAUGAUGACAACAAGCACAACCCCCGAAAAGCGCGCGACGUGAACGGACCCGAUCGGAGCGUGGCGACCACCUGUGCGACAGCGUGUGGCGGCGGCGUUGGCGGCGUUGGCUGCACCGGCUGCGGCGGCGGCGGCGGCGGCAGCGGCGGCGUCGUGCGAUGGCGCUCAACCUGCUGAACAAGGACCGCGCCAACAACGUCCCCAAAGCCAAGAAGGACAGGUGGCCCUUCUGGUUCUUCUUCACCCGCAGGAAGAAGCGAACGCCGGAGAAGUCUGAAAACGGAAGAUAAGACGUGAUCCUUUGCACAUAGAACCAUGAAUAAGCGACACCUGUCUGCGUUCACCUCGCGGAGUAAGAUGCGUCAGGCAGUGGG
Molecule: long non-coding RNA, 603 nt
Filed under: Penaeus japonicus
Lineage: Eukaryota; Metazoa; Arthropoda; Malacostraca; Decapoda; Penaeidae
Description: uncharacterized LOC122267620
Source: RNAcentral